AUGAGUUUCAUCAAAUCAUGU
This 21-nucleotide microRNA is filed under the name Medicago truncatula (barrel medic). RNAcentral's name for it is "mtr-miR2642". The record is from miRBase by way of RNAcentral. Lineage: Eukaryota; Viridiplantae; Streptophyta; Magnoliopsida; Fabales; Fabaceae.